ACGAAAAUAAAAUCAGGGAAAAUAGAAACCCUUUCAAUCCCUAAAUGACCUCUCAUUUAGGCUGAGUUAUGCAACUCAUCUCCUUCCUUCUCUGUUCACAAUCUGCAACGCCGGCGACAUCCCCAUUCAAAGAGAACAUUCAUACGACAGCGGCAUCCGAUUCUAUAUUCGUUCACAAUCCUUUCAUUCUUUCUCUUCCUCCUUCUUUUUCCCACCACAAAGUCUAUCUCCAUCUUCUCACACAAUCUUUCCCUUUUCCAUUCCCAUCCUUCAGCUUAUAUUAACCUUCUCUCUCAUAAUCUUCUUCUCAGCACACCACGAUUUUGCCAAUGCAAGCAAAUGAGAGGAUUGAUGUAUGUGUGGAUGAUAAGGUUACAAACUACUUAAACCGGAGAGAUGUGCCAGAGGCACUUCAUGUGAAGCUUGUCGGAGUUCGCAAGUAGGAUGUUUGUAGCAAUUAUUUCAGGUUAUCGAUUGGGGAUCCACGCUCUGAAUAGGUGAUAUUGGGUGGGAGUAAUUUUUCGUAUUUUGUUGAGCUAUGAACAAUUUAGAUUUUUGUAAAUUUGAUUGAUCAAUUGUGUUACUUUUAUCGGUUAUUCAGAGGUAGGAAUUAAUUGUCUCUAA
Molecule: RNA transcript, 624 nt
Organism: Cicer arietinum (chickpea)
Lineage: Eukaryota; Viridiplantae; Streptophyta; Magnoliopsida; Fabales; Fabaceae
Source: RefSeq, a predicted model, not a curated record